AUCCAGCUGACGAGUCCAAAGUAGGGCGAAACUCACGUCUUGGAU
RNAcentral lists this non-coding RNA (45 nucleotides) under Schistosoma haematobium. The record is from RNAcentral. Lineage: Eukaryota; Metazoa; Platyhelminthes; Trematoda; Strigeidida; Schistosomatidae.